CAAGGAAUUUUCCCCAAUGGGCGCAAGCCUGAGGGAGCAACGCCGCGUGCGGGACGACGGCCUUCGGGUUGUAAACCGCUUUUCGUGGGGACGAUUGUGACGGUACCCGCGGAAUAAGCCCCGGCUAACUCUGUGCCAGCAGCCGCGGUAAGACAGAGGGGGCAAGCGUUGUCCGGACUGACUGGGCGUAAAGCGCGCGCAGGCGGUCUCGGGCGUCGGUGCUGAAAGUCCACCGCUUAACGGUGGGAUGCGUGCCGAUACGCCGAGACUGGAGGGUGGGCGAGGGUGGUGGAAUUGCCGGUGUAGUGGUGAAAUGCGUAGAGAUCGGCAGGAACACCCGUGGUGAAGACGGCCACCUAGCCCGCACCUGACGCUGAGGCGCGACAGCGUGGGGAGCGAACGGGAUUAGAUACCCCGGUAGUCCACGCCGUAAACGAUGCCGACUCGGUAUCCGUGAGGCGAAAGCCUCGGGGGUGCCCCAGCUCACGCGGUAAGUCGGCCGCCUGGGGACUACGAGCGC
This 520-nucleotide ribosomal RNA is filed under the name uncultured Chloroflexota bacterium. RNAcentral describes it as "bacterial SSU rRNA". It matches the Rfam family "Bacterial small subunit ribosomal RNA", at positions 355 to 889 of the family's 1533-position model. Lineage: Bacteria; Bacillati; Chloroflexota. The record is from RNAcentral.